Molecule: long non-coding RNA, 1353 nt
Organism: Physeter macrocephalus (sperm whale)
Lineage: Eukaryota; Metazoa; Chordata; Mammalia; Artiodactyla; Physeteridae
Exons: 3
Source: RefSeq, a predicted model, not a curated record
GGGAUGGACGCGGGGCGGGCAGUCAGAGGCUGAAGGAUCGGGAUCCCCAGCCCUCCGUGCCCGUCGGGGUGGAGUCAGUUGGACCUCCUCUAACUUCGAGAGUCCAGGUUGGUGGGAAAGGACCUUGGAGAUCAGCACGCCCGCCCCCGCCGCCCCGCCACGGCCUCUGACUGCAUUUGUAGAAGCGGAAACCCAGCAGCGCCCUCAUGUGCUCAAGGAUGCUUUCUGUGGGCAAGAGUGGUGCCCCAAACCCAGCUCUCCGUCGGACCCAGUUUGGUACCCCUGGGAGAAGUGGAGCCAGCAGACCCAGAAGGACCCACCUCCUUCUUUCUCCGCCCAUUUUCCUGCCCUUUUUACUGCAGUGAACUGCUCUCAGAAUUGGGGAGCGGACACCAAGAGCAACUUGACUGCCUGCUCUCGAGAUGUCAUUAUCAGGAGUUAUAUCUGCCCAGCCUUACACAGAUCAGCUGGCAGGCUGCAGAGCUUGUGAACUUUUUCUAUCUGGGGGUUGUAAAGACAGAAAAGUAAAGACUACGAGGCUCUUCAGAAGAUGCUUUAAUGGAAAUCAUCAUCUCCUCUUUAGUCAUUCCAAGAGCAUCCACUUUGAUGUGGUUGAGAAAUAUCGUGAAGGUGAUUCCGUGUUCAACUCUAGCCACAGCUCAGCAGCUUGGCAAACUGUCUCCUCAUUUUCCACAGGUAAAUUGUCACUAAUGAGAGUGCCUAUCAGUAGGUCAGGUGGAGGCUGCAUGGAGGCUUUCUGGUGGUACCCAGAAGCGAACUUGUGCCCACCAAUUUUUAGCAUUUUAAUUCCUUACAACCGAAGGGGUCGGCCAAACUCAACAAUUCUCCUCAUUUAUUAUUUUUAAAUUAAAUAUUCUUGACAUUGUUGCAACACAUAUUCUACCUGUAGGAAGCACGUUGUUUCAUAAAACUGUUCUACGGUGCUGUCAUUUAUUGCCGCGUGACCAUGUGUGCACACGUUACUCUUAAGUAUAAGGCAGUGUAGUGACACCAAUGUUCCCUGGGUGUGAGUGUGUCUACUAUCACUAGUUCAUUCAUAAACAUGGCCGGGAAUAAGAAAUACACACUGCAAGAAUCAACUUAUCGCAAGGGAGUUCAGUGCCGUCAAUGGCGAAUAAUAGGCCAGUGAGGAGCUGCUCUUUGUUAGUUUUAACUGUUCCAGCAGACACAGCAUAUUCAAGAUUGAUCUCUUCUCGUUGUGAUGCACAUGACUGUAUUCUAUUACUAUCUUUAGGACCGGACUGGAAAAGUCAGUCUUUCUAAUGAUAGAGGAUCAAGUGAAUGAUUCCUAAGUAAAGAAAGGAGGAUCUUCAUGUGAUCUUUUUUUUUUUG